RNAcentral lists this ribosomal RNA (224 nucleotides) under uncultured bacterium. Its description in RNAcentral is "partial 16S ribosomal RNA". It matches the Rfam family "Bacterial small subunit ribosomal RNA", at positions 524 to 746 of the family's 1533-position model. The record is from RNAcentral.
UACGGAGGGUGCAAACGUUGCUCGGAAUCAUUGGGCGUAAAGCGCACGUAGGCGGCGCGUUAAGUCGGAUGUGAAAGCCCCGGGCUCAACCCGGGAAGUGCAUACGAAACUGGCGCGCUUGAAUAUGGAAGAGGGUCGCGGAAUUCCCGGUGUAGAGGUGAAAUUCGUAGAUAUCGGGAGGAACACCAGUGGCGAAGGCGGCGACCUGGGCCAAUAUUGGACGC